This 429-nucleotide ribosomal RNA is filed under the name Acidobacteriota bacterium. RNAcentral's name for it is "Acidobacteria bacterium partial 16S ribosomal RNA". It matches the Rfam family "Bacterial small subunit ribosomal RNA", at positions 355 to 776 of the family's 1533-position model. Lineage: Bacteria; Pseudomonadati; Acidobacteriota. The record is from RNAcentral.
UGGGGAAUUUUGGACAAUGGGGGAAACCCUGAUCCAGCCAUCCCGCGUGUGCGAUGAAGGCCUUCGGGUUGUAAAGCACUUUUGGCAGGAAAGAAACGUCAUGGGUUAAUACCCCGUGAAACUGACGGUACCUGCAGAAUAAGCACCGGCUAACUACGUGCCAGCAGCCGCGGUAAUACGUAGGGUGCAAGCGUUAAUCGGAAUUACUGGGCGUAAAGCGUGCGCAGGCGGUUCGGAAAGAAAGAUGUGAAAUCCCAGAGCUCAACUUUGGAACUGCAUUUUUAACUACCGGGCUAGAGUGUGUCAGAGGGAGGUGGAAUUCCGCGUGUAGCAGUGAAAUGAGUAGAUAUGCGGAGGAACACCGAUGGCGAAGGCAGCCUCCUGGGAUAACACUGACGCUCAUGCACGAAAGCGUGGGGAGCAAACAGG